AACGAACGCUGGCGGCAUGCCUAACACAUGCAAGUCGAACGAGACCUUCGGGUCUAGUGGCGCACGGGUGCGUAACGCGUGGGAACCUGCCCUUAGGUUUGGAAUAACUCCCCGAAAGGGGUGCUAAUACCGGAUAAUGUCUUCGGACCAAAGAUUUAUCGCCUUUGGAUGGGCCCGCGUUGGAUUAGCUAGUUGGUAGGGUAAAAGCCUACCAAGGCGACGAUCCAUAGCUGGUUUGAGAGGAAGAGCAGCCACACUGGGACGAGGACACGGCCCAGAAUCCUACGCGAGGCAGCAGUGGGGAAUAUUGGACAAUGGGCGGAAGCAUGAUCCAGUAAUGACGCGUGAGUGAUGAAGGCCUUAGGGUUGUAAAGCUCUUUUACCCGGGAUGAUAUUGACAGUACCGACAGAAUAAGCUCCGGCUAACUCCGUG
RNAcentral lists this ribosomal RNA (433 nucleotides) under uncultured bacterium. RNAcentral's name for it is "partial 16S ribosomal RNA". It matches the Rfam family "Bacterial small subunit ribosomal RNA", at positions 29 to 507 of the family's 1533-position model. The record is from RNAcentral.